GAUGAACGCUGGCGGCGUGCCUAAUACAUGCAAGUCGAGCGAACAGACGAGGAGUUUGCUCCUCUGUCGUUAGCGGCGGACGGGUGAGUAACACGUGGAUAACCUACCUAUAUGACUUGGAUAACUUCGGGAAACCGUAGUUACUACCGGAUAAUCCUUUGAACCGCAUGGUUCUAUAGUGAAAGACGGUUUUUCUGUCACCUAUAGAUGUAUCCGCGCGGCAUUAGAUAGUUGGUAAGGUAACGGCUUACCAAGGCAACGAUCCGUAGCCGACCUGGGAGGCUGAUCGGCCGCACUGGAGCGUGGCCACGGUCCAGGCUCCUGCGGGAGGCAGCAGAAGGGUAUCUUACGCAGUGGGCGGAAGCAUGACGGAGUAACGCAGAGUGAGAGAUGGAGAUCUUGGGAGCGUGAAACUCUGUUAUUGGGGAAGAACAAAUUUGUACGUAAAUAUGCACAUCUUGACGGUACCUGAACAGAAAGCCCCGGCUAACUACGUG
This 497-nucleotide ribosomal RNA is filed under the name uncultured bacterium. RNAcentral's name for it is "partial 16S ribosomal RNA". It matches the Rfam family "Bacterial small subunit ribosomal RNA", at positions 28 to 507 of the family's 1533-position model. The record is from RNAcentral.